UCAUAUCCGGACAUUUUGAUAUCUUUACCUCUUGAAGAUUCAAAAGUUCUCGGGCAAUUAAAUGCGAGAACACAUAUUUUAGACCACAACAUCCUCUCAUUGCCAAAUAUCUCAAAUUUUGGAAGCCCUGAAAUCCAGACGGAAUGUUUUUCCACAAGUGUGUAAACGAUAUAUAAAAAGGGAAAAAAAUUAAAAAAAGGGAAAAAAAUUAAGAUCUAAAAAGUGGGAGAAACCCAUCUUCUCUCCUCCUCCCGUAUCCUCUUUUGCGCUGCAACAGGAGCCCCAUUAAACAGCAAGCCGACGACUGCCGAGUGCCGACGCAACAGCUCUGUCGUCCACGGCUCACCAAAGGCUCUCAAACUACACAUCCAGAAUGCUCUUGCCGUCCUUCAUCCAAUCCCCAAGUUAGUUUCUAUAGAUUCGUAGGCGACUUUCCUCAACCUCAAAUUUAAGAAACGGUGACCCAGGGUUUUCCGGCCAACUUCCGGCCAAUAUCGCCAGAAUUGGAGCUCGACCCAAGAGGUAGAAAUGAUCCUCUUCUCGUGGGCUGUUCGCCAAUUGGAUGGUUAAGACUUAAUGUGGAGGAAAUUCUCUCUUGAAGUUGCUUGAACUUACCUAUUUGGUAGACAAGGCUCCUCAAGGGAGAGCUAGCCGGAGGUGUGAGUGGACAUUUAUUUAAGAAAUGUUUUUUCUUUUAU
Long non-coding RNA from Malus domestica (apple), 698 nucleotides. RefSeq lists it as uncharacterized. The record is from RefSeq and is a predicted model, not a curated record. Lineage: Eukaryota; Viridiplantae; Streptophyta; Magnoliopsida; Rosales; Rosaceae.